Chenopodium quinoa (quinoa) is the source of this 3636-nucleotide long non-coding RNA. RefSeq lists it as uncharacterized. The record is from RefSeq and is a predicted model, not a curated record. NCBI's taxonomy places the organism in Eukaryota, Viridiplantae, Streptophyta, Magnoliopsida, Caryophyllales, Amaranthaceae. The transcript has 4 exons.
UCAUCAUCGCCAUCCACCUAAUUAAAAAUAUCAAAAACCAGUAAUAACCACAUAACCCAAAACUACCAUCGAAACUCUAAAGAACCACCACCAAACCUAGAACAACCACCACCAAAACCAAUGAAAUCCACCCAAUCACCACCGAAAGUUCGAACAACCACCACCGAACCCUGAACAAUCACCACCAAAUCAUUGAAAUCCACCAACGAAUCCAACAAAUCCACCGCGAUGAACCAGCGAAACCACCCCCAUGAACCACCAAAAUCAGUAACGAACCACCAAAUCCUACAAACCACCCCCAUAACCAUCCAAGAACCCACCUUAAACCAACCAGGAAUCAUCCAAUUGAUAACCCAGUUAAUAUGACAUAUUAACUUCAUAUGUUAAUAUGAUGGCAUUUUCGUUAUUAUUGAAAUAACUUGCAAUAUUUUAUUGUUUUCUGGGUUUGUAGCUGACAUGGCAGAAAACUUGCGACGUUAGUGGAUGGUUAACGCUGAAUUUUGAUCCCUUUUUGUCUUGAACUUGGGAAUCAAAAGAUCCCGUUGUUGAGGAAGCAGGAGAAGAGCAUCAGCAAGCUCUCCCUUUUUCGAGCUCUUAUCCAUUUUUCUCAGAGCGUGAGGGAGCGACUUACGAAUUUGAUGAUUGGAGUCUUCAACCCAACUUGAUAUCGCGUUCUUGGUGUUCUGAAGGGACAACGUAAUUGUUAUAUUGCAGGUGUGGUUAUGGAUUGUGGUUUUGAAGCUGGUGAAAUGGGUGAUCCUGUUGGCGUAUCAUAUAGUGAUGAGGGGUGGGGGGGGGUGGCAAGUGAUAACUUCUGGUGGUGUGGCUGAUGGUCUCCCCUCUCUGAACUGUAUGGCAUUGAAGAUUCCUAACUCAGUUGAGAGACUAGCUGCCAUGUCACCAAUUAAAACUAUUGAAACUGUAGAGACCAUUGUCUCAACAAAUCAGAUUAGCAUGUACACUUAUGUUGAAUCACCUAGGUUAGGGAUGGUUUUCAAAUCCUUUGAAGAUGUAGAAAGCUACUACAACGAGUAUGCUGAGCAGAAAGUUUUUGGGGUAACCCGAGUUGCAUCAUCAUUUUCAAAGAAGGAUAAGGAGGAGUGCAGAGGGGCCACCUGGAGGUGUGAGUGUUGGGGUCCACCUGAUAUGAGGGCAAGGAGGGAGGCGAAGAAAAGGGCAAAGCCAACGAAAUUAUGUGGCACGGGAGGGAUGUUUAAUGGUGAAAUAGGGGAAGAUAUCAUGCAGCGGGCGAAAAGGACCUCCAAGAAAUGUGAGUGUGGUGCCAUGUUAUAUGCCGGGGUUGAUAGUGAUGGCUAUGGGUUAUUAGGAAAUUGAAAAAUGUGCAUGAUAACCAUACCCCUAAACCGAGUGAUGCUAAGCUGGUGAAGGAAUAUCAAAUGAAGAAUUACACGUCGAAUGUGGAGAAGAAACUUCUGAAUUACUAUGAAGUAGGUGUCCCUAUAAGGCAAAUACAUGGGUGUAUGGCUACGGAGACCAGGGAUGAUAACUUCCUAGUUUUAAGGACCUUGAGCAUGAAGUGUCUAAGGAAAAGUGGCUCAAAAUGGAAGGUGGUGAUGCGGCUGCAAUGAUGGCAUACUUUGAUCGCAUGCAAGAGGAUAAUAAGAAUUUCUAUCAUGCACACCGCUUAGAUGAAGAGGGCCGACUCAAGGACGUAAUGUGGGUGGACGCUUGUAGUAGGGUGGCAUAUGAAGAUUUUGGGGAUGUUGUUUGUUUUGAUUCCACUUAUCUAACUAAUGCGUACGCGCUUCCUUUUGCCAACUUUGUAGGGGUAAACCACCAAGGGCAACCUAUAUUUUUGGGUUGCGCUCUUGUGUCACAUGAAGAUUGUGACACAUCUGGUUGGAUAUUUAGGCAGUGGCUUUCUUGUAUGGGUAAUAAACAACCCGGGCGAAUUUUGACAGAUCAAGCUGCCGCAAUGCGCAAGCCUUUAGCUCAAGUGAUGCCUAAUGCUCGACAUCGUUGGUGAAGAAAAUCCCAGAGAAACUUGGAAAAUGUGAACACUACCAAGAUUUUAAGAGCCCUCUUAAGGCUCUUGUAUAUGAGAGCUUCACAGUUGCCGAGUUUGAGCGUCGCUGGACAGACUUAAUCAAGCAGUUUGAACUAGAGGAUAAUGAUUGGUUAGCUAUUUGUUUGAGGAAAGGCACAUGUGGGUCCCAACCUUUAUAAAAGAGCACUUUUGGGCCGGGAUGAAGACAACAUAGAGGAUCAAAAGCAUAAAUAGUUUCUUUGACGGGUUUGUGAACAGGAAGACAAAGCUUUACGAAUUCCUUGACAAGUACACUAGGGCAAUAGGGAGGCGUGUUAAAGCUGAAACUGAUGCGGAUGCUCGCUGUGGCAAAUAUUUAUGGCGCCUCGUGAGUGGUUUUUAUGUUGAACAAUUCUUCCUGGACAUCUACACUAACACCAAAUUCCAAGAGAUUCAAAUAGAGUGUUGUAGACUUAUGCAUUGCUCUAGGAGGGAGGAGCGUGUUCUAGAAGGGAACUUGAUUCAAUAUCUACUUGAAGAUCGGGUCUGGAUCAUCCCAGAAGGGAAGAGCGAAGAAGAGAUAACUGAUAAGAGACGAUUCUACUGUGUCCUGUUCAACACAGUUACAAAGGACGUGUCCUGUGAUUGCCGGAAGUUCGAAACCUUUGGUAUUCUUUGCAGGCAUAUCAUCCGAGUUUAUGAUCAAAAUCGGGUGUCUGAAAUUCCUUCGAAGUAUGUACUUGGCAGGUGGCGCAAAGAUGUCCCUCGGAAGCAUACCCGGGUUAAGGUUGCCUACCACGAUCCAAGUACAGAUUACUCUGUCCAGAUUUAUAGGAAAUUGAUGGGGGAGUUUGAGCCAAUUUGUGAGGUUGCAGCUGUUGCUGAUGACAAGGACACAUUAGAUCUUGUAUUACAGUCUCUACAAUCACUUUCUUUGGAUGUUAAAAAAAGCAGAGAGAAGUACAUGGAAAAGCAACCUUCUCUACCCACUCUCCCAAGAACCCUGUAGCCUCCAUCUGAGAUUUGUUCAAACAACCCUUAGUCACGCCAAACCCCUUUGUCAGUAUCGAAACCUGCUGGAGAAGAAGUGAACCCUGCUACUGUUGAAGCGGCACCUGUUUCAGUGAAGGAUCCUAUUAGUCGGAAAAACCGCGGGGACGGCCAAAGGUGUAUAGGCAUAAAUCCCUUGCAGAGAUGGGCUACAAAAAGAGUACUGGGAAAAAGGGUGAAAAUGCACAACAACCUCCUGCCAAAUUACCUAUGUUGGCGCGGUUGAUGAAUUUGCACAGCACAAUGGGGUGGAAUGGGGAUCUGCUCCUUCUGAAACCUUUUAUGUUGACGUUGAUGGUAGAAGACAGAUGUUGCACCACCGCUUCUUUUGACACUUGAGUGGGGUCUGGUACAUGGUUCUUCAUAUUCUGUAAUCCAUAUAAAACAUGUUUUUGACUUACAAACUUACAAACCCCUUCUCUGAUCCUAUAUAUUUUGUGGUGGAUGUUUAUGACUUUACAAACAAGUGUUUGACUUACAUUUUACCACCAGUGCUGUUUCUUCCAAGUUAACACACAAACAACAUUGCAAAAUUAGGUGCAUUCAUAUAUUGGUUCUUCUUUCCCCAUAUUAUUUGGAAUGUAUUCAUCUUCUCAUUA